AACAAAACUUACAUGGAUAAAAGAUUGAUUUAACAAUAAGAUAUGUGACAUGUAAAGAACUAAAGCAAGCUUAAUUUGGACGACGAGGUCGUCAGAUAUGAAGUCUUACUUCCACAACAAAGAUGGAAUCAAGAGAAAGCAGAAAUCUACUUUACAUUCAGCAAAUAAUCAAUGUGGUACAAACGGAACUUGCUCA
Long non-coding RNA from Xenia sp. Carnegie-2017, 196 nucleotides. RefSeq lists it as uncharacterized. The transcript is spliced from 3 exons. The record is from RefSeq and is a predicted model, not a curated record. NCBI's taxonomy places the organism in Eukaryota, Metazoa, Cnidaria, Anthozoa, Malacalcyonacea, Xeniidae.